RNAcentral lists this ribosomal RNA (433 nucleotides) under uncultured bacterium. RNAcentral's name for it is "partial 16S ribosomal RNA". It matches the Rfam family "Bacterial small subunit ribosomal RNA", at positions 29 to 507 of the family's 1533-position model. The record is from RNAcentral.
AACGAACGCUGGCGGCAUGCCUAACACAUGCAAGUCGAACGAGACCUUCGGGUCUAGUGGCGCACGGGUGCGUAACGCGUGGGAACCUGCCCUUAGGUUCGGAAUAACUCCCCGAAAGGGGUGCUAAUACCGGAUAAUGUCUUCGGACCAAAGAUUUAUCGCCUUUGGAUGGGCCCGCGUUGGAUUAGCUAGUUGGUAGGGUAAAAGCCUACCAAGGCGACGAUCCAUAGCUGGUCUGAGAGGAUGAUCAGCCACACUGGGACUGAGUCACGGCCCAGAAUCCUACGGGAGGCAGCAGUGGGGAAUAUUGGACAAUGGGCGAAAGCCUGAUCCAGCAAUGCCGCGUGAGUGAUGAAGUCCUUAGGGUUGUAAAGCUCUUUUACCCGGGAUGAUAAUGACAGUACCGGGAGAAUAAGCUCCGGCUAACUCCGUG